Molecule: ribosomal RNA, 553 nt
Filed under: uncultured fungus
Lineage: Eukaryota; Fungi
Description: eukaryotic LSU rRNA
Rfam family: 5.8S ribosomal RNA (bases 187-340)
Source: RNAcentral
AAGUCGUAACAAGGUCUCCGUUGGUGAACCAGCGGAGGGAUCAUUACUGAGUACUACACUCUCUACCCUUUGUGAACUAUUAUACCUGUUGCUUCGGCGGCCGCCCGCAAGGGUGCCCGCCGGUCUCAUCAGAAUCUCUGUUUUCGAACCCGACGAUACUUCUGAGUGUUCUUAGCGAACUGUCAAAACUUUUAACAACGGAUCUCUUGGCUCCAGCAUCGAUGAAGAACGCAGCGAAACGCGAUAUGUAAUGCGAAUUGCAGAAUUCAGUGAAUCAUCGAAUCUUUGAACGCACAUGGCGCCUUCCAGUAUCCUGGGAGGCAUGCCUGUCCGAGCGUCGUUUCAACCCUCGAGCCCCUGUGGCCCGGCGUUGGGGAUCUGCCACGGCAGGCCCCUAAAACCAGUGGCGGACCCUGAAGGGCCCUCUCCUUUGCGCAGUAGCAUUCGCCUCGCAUCGGGAGUCCUCGGCGUCCUGCCUCUAAACCCCCCACAAGCCCGCUUCGGCGGCACCAAGGUUGACCUCGGAUCAGGUAGGAAUACCCGCUGAACUUAA